CCCUUAGAUGUUCUGGGCCGCACGCGCGCUACACUGAUGCAUUCAACAAGCCUAGCCUUGACCGAGAGGUCCGGGUAAUCUUUGAAACUGCAUCGUGAUGGGGCUAGAUUAUUGCAAUUAUUAAUCUUCAACGAGGAAUGCCUAGUAAGCGUGAUUCAUCAAAUCGCGUUGAUUACGUCCCUGCCCUUUGUACACACCGCCCGUCGCUCCUACCGAUUGAAUGUGUUGGUGAGGAGCUCGGAUUGGCAGCAGUUGGUGGUUCGCCACCGGCUAUUGCUGAGAAGUCCUCCAAACCGCCCCAUUUAGAGGAAGGAGAAUUCGUAACA
RNAcentral lists this ribosomal RNA (326 nucleotides) under uncultured eukaryote. RNAcentral's name for it is "partial 18S ribosomal RNA". It matches the Rfam family "Eukaryotic small subunit ribosomal RNA", at positions 1470 to 1796 of the family's 1831-position model. The record is from RNAcentral.